GACGAACGCUGGCGGCGUGCUUAACACAUGCAAGUCGAGCGGUAAGGCCCUUUCGGGGGUACACGAGCGGCGAACGGGUGAGUAACACGUGGGUGACCUGCCCUCAGCUCUGGGAUAAGCCUGGGAAACCGGGUCUAAUACUGGAUAUGACUCCAUGACGCAUGUUGUGGGGUGGAAAGCCUUGUGCGGCUGAGGAUGGGCCCGCGGCCUAUCAGCUUGUUGGUGGGGUNANGGCCUACCAAGGCGACGACGGUAGCCGGCCUGAGAGGGCGACCGGCCACACUGGGACUGAGACACGGCCCAGACUCCUACGGGAGGCAGCAGUGGGGAAUCUUGCGCAAUGGGCGAAAGCCUGACGCAGCGACGCCGCGUGA
This 374-nucleotide ribosomal RNA is filed under the name uncultured bacterium. RNAcentral's name for it is "bacterial SSU rRNA". It matches the Rfam family "Bacterial small subunit ribosomal RNA", at positions 28 to 404 of the family's 1533-position model. The record is from RNAcentral.